RNAcentral lists this ribosomal RNA (222 nucleotides) under uncultured bacterium. RNAcentral describes it as "partial 16S ribosomal RNA". It matches the Rfam family "Bacterial small subunit ribosomal RNA", at positions 109 to 334 of the family's 1533-position model. The record is from RNAcentral.
AGUAAUGUCUGGGAAACUGCCUGAUGGAGGGGGAUAACUACUGGAAACGGUAGCUAAUACCGCAUAACGUCUUCGGACCAAAGUGGGGGACCUUCGGGCCUCACGCCAUCGGAUGUGCCCAGAUGGGAUUAGCUAGUAGGUGGGGUAAUGGCUCACCUAGGCGACGAUCCCUAGCUGGUCUGAGAGGAUGACCAGCCACACUGGAGCUGAGACACGGUCCAG